UAGAGUUUGAUCAUGGCUCAGGACGAACGCUGGCGGCGUGCCUAACACAUGCAAGUCUUGGGAGAAAGAGGUAGCAAUAUCUUGAGUAAACCGGCGCAAGGGUGAGUAACACGUAGGCAACCUGCCUUUAGGACGAGGAUAACUCCGAGAAAUCGGGGCUAAUACUCGAUGAUGCAGCGGCACCGCAUGGUGACAGUUGUUAAAAGCCCGCAAGGGUGCCUAAAGAUGGGCCUGCGUCCCAUUAGGUAGUUGGUGAGGUAACGGCCCACCAAGCCGACGAUGGGUAGCUGGUCUGAGAGGACGAUCAGCCACACUGGGACUGAGACACGGCCCAGACUCCUACGGGAGGCAGCAGUGGGGAAUCUUGCGCAAAUGCGGGAAACCGUGACGCAGCGACGCCGCGUGGGGGAAGAAGGCCUUCGGGUUGUAAACCUCUUUCAGGAGGGACGAAGCUACUCGGGUGAAUAGCCCAGAGGGUGACGGUACCUCCAGAAGAAGCCCCGGCUAACUACGUGCCAGCAGCCGCGGUAAUUC
This 534-nucleotide ribosomal RNA is filed under the name uncultured Solirubrobacter sp. RNAcentral's name for it is "bacterial SSU rRNA". It matches the Rfam family "Bacterial small subunit ribosomal RNA", at positions 1 to 526 of the family's 1533-position model. The record is from RNAcentral. Lineage: Bacteria; Bacillati; Actinomycetota; Thermoleophilia; Solirubrobacterales; Solirubrobacteraceae.